UACAGAGGAUGCAAGCGUUAUCCGGAAUGAUUGGGCGUAAAGCGUCUGUAGGUGGCUUUUAAGUCCGCCGUCAAAUCCCAGGGCUCAACUCUGGACAGGCGGUGGAAACUACCAAGCUGGAGUACGGUAGGGCAGAGGGAAUUUCCGGUGGAGCGGUGAAAUGCGUAGAGAUCGGAAAGAACACCAACGGCGAAAGCACUCUGCUGGCCGACACUGACACUGAGAGACGAAAGCUAGGGGAGCGAAUGGG
RNAcentral lists this ribosomal RNA (250 nucleotides) under uncultured bacterium. RNAcentral describes it as "partial 16S ribosomal RNA". It matches the Rfam family "Bacterial small subunit ribosomal RNA", at positions 524 to 776 of the family's 1533-position model. The record is from RNAcentral.